AGUGACGAUAGCCUAGGAGAUACACCUGUACCCAUGCCGAACACAGAAGUUAAGCCCUAGAACGCCGGAAGUAGUUGGGGGUUGCCCCCUGUGAGAUANUAGGGAGUUUAGCUCAGCUGGGAGAGCA
Molecule: ribosomal RNA, 127 nt
Filed under: Streptococcus pneumoniae
Lineage: Bacteria; Bacillati; Bacillota; Bacilli; Lactobacillales; Streptococcaceae
Source: RNAcentral